UCCCUCAGAAAGUUAAUGGGACCUAUCAGCAACAUCAGAGGAAAAAGUUUCCAUGAGGUGAGGAUAAAGGAUACCCACUAACUUGAAGUGAAAGUCUGUAGAAGCACAGGUGCACUUCUCAAAUUCUUUCCGUGGGGGCUGAAUGUAAUCAGCCCCAGAAACAAGCACAGGUUCUGGGUCUCCCUGGGUCAUUCCUAAAGUAUAUACUUUCCUCCGAGUUUUCUUUAGCUUGUUCUAUUGCAGUGUUAAAUCUCAGAAAAUGGGAUAUAAAUUGGCCGUCUUGACAUUAUUUGCUGACAAAUGAACAUUUCACUCAUUUGGAAAAAAAUUAAAGUCGCUAAUAUGAAAACAGGAAGUAAUUUAUGAGAAAUGAAUACUUUCUUCUUAAGCUGCUGAGAAAAAUAUCAAAACAUGAAUAAGUUAUAAUAAGAUAGAGAACCACAUACCAAAAUGAAUAGCCACCACGUCUCAGUGAUACAGAAGUAUGUGAAAGAAAUAGGUCACCAGACAUGAAACUCCCUGUGGAAAGGAUAUCGUGGAAGAACAGACAACUGACUGUCCUUAAACGAUCAGGUGGGAGAGAAAGAGUCAAUAAAGAAAAUGGAGCACCAUGAACACAGGGUUGCCAAUGAAAUUUUAAAUGUGUGGUGAUAGUGAGACAUACUGUACAGUGUUGGGAAUCCAUGAUAGGAAGUAAGGAGGAAUAUGGGGACAUAUAUACGGGGUAACAUAACGGGGUAACAUUAAGGAAAGCUUGCAUUCAGCGAAAGCACGGAACACAUGCAGGUGAUUGAGAAGCACUGAAUGGUUUCACAGGGAAAGAGAUGAUCAUAACAUUUGCUAUCAGGUUAGUCUUCCUUAGACCAAAAUGAUCAUUUUAGUUUAAGAAGGCUAACCUGGUAGCAAAAUCAGAGAGAGAGAAAAUAGGUAAACCUAGGAACAGAGCAACCAAUUAAGGGGUCAAUGCUGUGAAAAUAAAGGGCAGAAAAAGGACAACUGCCAUGAACAUAUGAAGCAAAUCCAGAAACUAGAGAUGUUCAGAGAGAAGAAAGGGGAAGACAUGGUGAUAUUAGAUAUAAAGGAUGUGACAGAGUGCAAUAGGAAAAGAAAACUAUCUAGGCUUAUUAGUGAUUUCUGGUUUAUAAAUACACACAAAUUUAGACAUACACACUGGCCAGGUAAUGCCGAAGCACUGUAUGCAUUUCUAAGCCUUUCAUUUUAAUAAGGACAAUGUUGAGUUAAAAUAUUUCAGAAUUGGAGGAAACUGGAAAAAAAUUCCAAGUGUUAUGGGCUGAAUUAUGUUCCCCCAAAUUCAAAUGUCCAAGCCUUAAUCCCCAGUAUUUCAAACGUGAACAUAUUUGAAGAUAGUGUUUUUAAAAAGGUAAUUAAGUUAAAAUAAAGCCCAUAGGGUGGGUAUUAUUCCAGUCUCACUGGUGGGUGUUUUCACAAGAAGAGGAAAGUUGGACAUGCAGAGAAAUCAGGGGUGCACACACAGAGGAAACACCAUGUUAAGGAUGCAACAAGAAGGCAGCCAUUUGCAAGCCAAGAAGAAACCAAUUGUGCUGACGCCUUUGUCUUGGAUCUCUAGAUUCCAGAACUGUGAGAAAAUACAUUUCUGUGGUUUACGCUACCCAGUCUGUGGUAUUUUGUUAUGGUAGCCCCAGCAAACUAAUUCAGCGGAAAAACAGAAAAUACUAAUGUAAUAACAGUCAUAGACAUUAGGCAGCUUGAGGUUAAACCAAUGGCUUUUGGCUAAUUUCUGCCAAGUUUUUAUAGGUAAUAUAAAACAGUACCAGAAAGAUGAUACAUAUUAUUAUUACUUUAGCAUCUGUGAGAUGAAAAACUGGGCCAUAAAGACAGCGGGAUGCACUGUGUAGUCAGUACUACUUGCUUUAAGUCUGAAUUAGGCAUGGUGCAGAGAUGAAGCUUGUAUAUUUCCCAGAACAAAAAGAUCCCUGCUGUUUCAGUAAUUUUUAUUAAAAAAAAAACU
Molecule: long non-coding RNA, 1990 nt
Organism: Prionailurus viverrinus (fishing cat)
Lineage: Eukaryota; Metazoa; Chordata; Mammalia; Carnivora; Felidae
Exons: 3
Source: RefSeq, a predicted model, not a curated record